Molecule: transfer RNA, 74 nt
Filed under: Haloplanus salinus
Lineage: Archaea; Methanobacteriati; Methanobacteriota; Halobacteria; Halobacteriales; Haloferacaceae
Description: tRNA-Gly
Rfam family: tRNA
About the family: Transfer RNA (tRNA) molecules are approximately 80 nucleotides in length. Their secondary structure includes four short double-helical elements and three loops (D, anti-codon, and T loops).
Source: RNAcentral
GGGCUCGUAGUUCAGCCCGGUAGAACGGCCGGCUGCCGGUCGGACGGCCCUGGGUUCGAGUCCCAGCGAGCCCA